This 497-nucleotide ribosomal RNA is filed under the name uncultured bacterium. RNAcentral's name for it is "partial 16S ribosomal RNA". It matches the Rfam family "Bacterial small subunit ribosomal RNA", at positions 28 to 507 of the family's 1533-position model. The record is from RNAcentral.
GACGAACGCUGGCGGCGUGCCUAAUACAUGCAAGUCGAGCGGACGGACCAGGAGCUUGCUUCUCUGAUGUUAGCGGCGGACGGGUGAGUAACACGUGGAUAACCUACCUGUAAGACUGGGAUAACUUCGGGAAACCGUAGCUAAUACCGGAUAAUAUCUUGAACCGCAUGGUUCAUAGGUGAAAGACGGUCUUGCUGGCACUUAUCGAUGGAUCCGCGCGGAAUUGGCUGGUUGGUAAGGUAACGGCCUACCAGGGGAACGAUGCAUAGGCGACGUGAGAGGGGGGUGGCCCACCUGGGAGCGGGGCCAGGCUCAAGACCCCUAAGGGAGGAGCCAGAAGGGAACGUGCGGCAGAGGGGGAAAGCCUGCCGGAACAAGCCGGAGUGAGUGAUGAAGGCCUCGGGUGCGGAAAGCCCUGUUUUUAGGGAAGAACAGAUGUGUAAGUAAAUGUGGACAUAGUGACGGUACCUAAUCAGAAAGCCCCGGCUAACUACGUG